RNAcentral lists this unclassified non-coding RNA (290 nucleotides) under Hevea brasiliensis (rubber tree). The record is from RNAcentral. Lineage: Eukaryota; Viridiplantae; Streptophyta; Magnoliopsida; Malpighiales; Euphorbiaceae.
GCUGGGUUUUAUUUCUGAUAUAUUUGGCUGCAUAUACUCAAUCCUAUCAUUACUAGGUCUCACUUGGAAAAUAAUUGGAGUAAAACUUAAAAAAAAAAAAAAAGAAAAAAAAUUGAAACUUUUAGUAAAAGCCCAUUGUCCCAUCCAACGAAACCCUAGACCAAAAGCCACCCAAGCAGAACUCAGGAUCAAUGUCAUGCACUAUUGUUGGAAGCUUAAUUGGAGAAUCCACCAAAAGCUAGAAAGGAGAUCUUCUGCCAGUGCCUCAACUCGCCAAAGCAAGAUAAGCC